This is a long non-coding RNA of Alexandromys fortis (reed vole), 1882 nucleotides long. RefSeq lists it as uncharacterized. The record is from RefSeq and is a predicted model, not a curated record. NCBI's taxonomy places the organism in Eukaryota, Metazoa, Chordata, Mammalia, Rodentia, Cricetidae. The transcript has 5 exons.
AUCUUAGGCUUCAGAUCCCAGUUUACCAUUCAUGUUGACUGAAUGAGAAAAAAUAUGAAAAAUAAAAUUAAUUUUAUUAAUGUCUUAAUGUACUGUGAAAGACUCCAGAAGAAUAAAGGUUUUGUUUCCCCAACAUUGAGAGAACCAGCUAUGUAAUCAGUUUAUCUAAAUUCCACCCAUUCUUUCACAGGUCAAAGUUUAAGAUUUUCUUUUGCCACUGCCUUGAAUUUUACAAUUUGGUUGAAUGAAGGCUUUUCUACUGAGUAGAUAGAAUACACUUUAAGAGUUAUGGUUAAAUUGGAAUUCAAACUUAUUAAAUUUUUACCAACUAAAUUGAUUUUUAACAUUUUUAAAGUUAAAAAUUAAUACCGAAUUUAAAAACACCACGUGAAACAUAAUUGGUUCACGACUUUGUGAUGGUAAAACUUAAUCUGGGAAUUAAGUCCCAUUGUCAUACACAAGGUAUUUAAUUUACAACAACAAAAAAAUGAGGGAGAGGGUGAAGAGGAUGAAGGGAAGCCAUAGCACAGGUGCUUUUGGGGUCCCUGAAGAAGACUCGAUAUUGCUUCUGUGUGAAAACUGAAAACUUACAUAGAUGAAAGUCCUCACUGAAGACAAGGUUAGACAGAAGCACCAAGAGAAAGAGCAACGUUCACUUUCUGUUCCGGGGGCGCGCUGGGAAGCGAGUCACAUGUCCCGGGUGCUAAAAUUUAUUCCUCAUUUUGGGGUGCCCGUCCUCUGUCUACCCAGCUAGUCACAUUUCUUUGUGCCGUCGUAUGCACAGACUGGAUUUUCCUGACCUGGGGAUUCUGUUUCCCAUAGCUUACCAGGUUAACUCCUGCUGUAGCGUCAUUCUGUUGCUGUGACAAACACCAUGACCAAAAGCAGCUUAGGGGAGGAGAUGAUCUAUCAGCUCACAGAACUCCACCACGUAUAUUUCCUGCCAACUGGAUCGCUAUAGGAAACUGACCCCUGGAAGGUGGAGGAUAAAUAUGAACAGGACAAGAGGGGAAAUCUCUCAUCUUCCUCCAGUGAGGGGGAAAUUAAAGUGCAGAGAUGGAAAUCUUCCAGAGGAAGAAAGACCAACACAGAUUCUAGUGAUACAUCCUUAAUGGAAAUAAAAAUGCCAGCACUAGACUUGGAGGGGUUCUCUCUUGCUAUUUCUUUCUCAUACGAUCAUAGAAAAGCCAGCCAAAGAGAAAGCUUUGGAACAGAAGGAGAGUAAAAACUAGCCACGACAUUAACUAUUCUGAAGCUCAGAGAGAUGGGUGCUCAGGGGCUUCCUUGAGAAAGCAUUCUGACGCCCAGUGAGACAUCAACACAGCCACCAACAGCAACUGUUUGACGGUCUCCUUGGUUUUUACCGUGACUUGUAUUAUGGAAAAUUUCAAAUAUAUGCAAAAAACGUACACGUGGCAACAUAGUUGCUAUAUACGCUCGUCUUAGCUAAUCAUCACAUCAAGGCUGCUUUUGUUUCAUGCAGACACAUUGUGGAAAUUCCUGACAUGAGAGGUUAUUUCUGUGUUUUUAGGCCUGCAUGCCACAGGAAGUGAGUUGUGAGUGUAACUGUGAGCGGCCACAGCUGGAAACCAUGGUCCUCCAGACCAGCACAGGUGUUUUAGCUUCCUGUGACAUCAUAACCUUUAAAAACUGAGGUCGGAGUUUUUCAGUUCCCUGCUCUAAAUUAUUAGCUCAAUUAUUUUAAAGGGACAUAAACUUUAGUCCAGGAAGGCCAUUUUGUUCUAAGACUGUGUACAGCUUUUGGUCACCAGAAUAUUUUGAAAUAAAUUGAGUCUUUAACUAAAAUGAUUUCACUUGAAUUAAAAUCUACUAAUGAUUUAUUGUGGAAAACAACGCCAUCUGAGAACAACCAGUCUUGACA